Molecule: ribosomal RNA, 586 nt
Filed under: uncultured cyanobacterium
Lineage: Bacteria; Bacillati; Cyanobacteriota
Description: bacterial SSU rRNA
Rfam family: Bacterial small subunit ribosomal RNA
Source: RNAcentral
GAGAAGCUUGCGGCUGAUUAGCUUGUUGGUAAGGUAAUGGCUUACCAAGGCGACGAUCAGUAUCUGGUUUGAGAGGACGAUCAGACACACCGGAACUGAGACACGGUCCAGACUCCUACGGGAGGCAGCAGUGGGGAAUUUUCCGCAAUGGGCGAAAGCCUGACGGAGCAAUCUCGCGUGAGGGAUGACGGCCUAUGGGUUGUAAACCUCUUUUUUCAGGGAGGAAUAAAAUGACGUGUACCUGAAGAAUAAGCAUCGGCUAACUCCGUGCCAGCAGCCGCGGUAAGACGGAGGAUGCAAGUGUUAUCCGGAAUCACUGGGCGUAAAGCGUCUGUAGGUGGUUUAAUAAGUCAACUGUUAAAUCUUGAGGCUCAACCUCAAAAUCGCAGUCGAAACUAUUAGGCUAGAGUAUAGUAGGGGUAAAGGGAAUUUCCAGUGGAGCGGUGAAAUGCGUAGAGAUUGGAAAGAACACCGAUGGCGAAGGCACUUUACUGGGCUAUUACUAACACUCAGAGACGAAAGCUAGGGUAGCAAAUGGGAUUAGAUACCCCAGUAGUCCUAGCCGUAAACAAUGGAUACUAGAUGU